Molecule: long non-coding RNA, 743 nt
Organism: Mastomys coucha (southern multimammate mouse)
Lineage: Eukaryota; Metazoa; Chordata; Mammalia; Rodentia; Muridae
Exons: 3
Source: RefSeq, a predicted model, not a curated record
UUGGCAGCUGCAGCCUGCUGCAGGAACACUGGUAGCUGGGUAGUGGUCUGGAGAAACGAAGACUCUGAAGAAAUGAGGGACCAUCAGCCAGGAAGCCUUUCCCACUUCCAGGGGGCAGUCCCGUAGAGGAGUCCUACCACUGAAGAUCCUGGCCUGCUGUCUGGAUGUUUCCUUGACUGAUGGGAUGAGCAGGGCCACGAGGCCCUUGAGCAGAGGCAAGCGCACAUUGUAGUGGAUCAGGUCCUUUAUCAGCUCGAUUGCUGGAGGAGGAGAGAGAUGCUGGAGAGGCCCUUUGUCCUUCCAAAUCCACCAUAUCUUUUACCCUGCUGUCUCCAUCAUCUCUCCUAAUACCUUCUGCUGCCCAGCACUGGCUGUCACUGAUUAUACCCAAAGAGAAAGAAGCAGGGCCCUGCUCACGUUCCUCUCUGAGACAUUUGCUCUCUGAGCAAGCACUUUACGGACUCAUCCCCAUCCCUUGGCCAAUCCGAAUGGACCAUGCGCUUGCUACAAGACCAGUACUGAGGGGAUAGAGGUGUCAGUGCUCAGCAGAUGUAAGGUGGAUGUCAAAGAGGAAAGAGCCAUCUCUCAAAUCCAGAGAGCAACUACAGAAUCCACAGCCUGAAGCUGAGAGAGGUGGUGAAGAGGGCAGAAGCAGGUGCCAGGAGCUCCUGGAGAGGUUAAAUGCACUGACCAGCACUGCUGUCCCUCCCACCCCCGGGGGCACCCACACUCAAACCCUGCAC